GACAGAGUGAUUUUUGUGAAUUUGGGUAUGCUGGAUCUCUGCAGCAGAGCUUCUCUGAGAAGCCUGGUAAAGUCAGGAAAGCUGAGCCAUCUUCUAAUACUACAGUUCAAGCAAACAUUGAUGCACUGAAAAUAUUCAGAGAUGAGUUAUGAACCUUCUCAGAUACCUUGCAAGACAAUGGAGAACUUCUGAAAGAUGCUGAGAUUUAUACAAAUGCCAGGAGGUACCUAGCAGUGCCUCCAGGUUUCUUGGCCCCAGCGAAAAAACAAACUACACUAAAACCCAGAUGUAACCUAGAGGUGCAGCUCAAGUCGUUACCAAGAAAAGGCAGCAGCUCAGAAAGCCACCCUGCACAUGUUCCACUCAUCAGAGAGGAAGCAGAGCACCCUCGGCUGAAGAGCCAGCAGUGAGGGCAAGGCUGGAGCACCGUGGACCUCAACAUGUGUGCGGCUAUCUCAGGGUAUCCUGGUUCUAGGAAGCUGGACUUGGGUGCCAUGGGGAGCCCCUGGGAUCAGUUCUGGUGCAGGAGAGGGGACACAGGGGAUGGUGGGGACUUUGGUGACGGUGUGUCUCCCAAGGAUGCCAGGCAUACACGAGUGACAGAAAUGGGUACCUCUUUUGGGGAAGAGUGGGUACGGAGAGUGUUCCCCCGAGUGUUCCUGAAGGACAAGGAUGGGAGGUGCAA
Pogoniulus pusillus (Red-fronted tinkerbird) is the source of this 685-nucleotide long non-coding RNA. RefSeq lists it as uncharacterized. The transcript is spliced from 3 exons. NCBI's taxonomy places the organism in Eukaryota, Metazoa, Chordata, Aves, Piciformes, Lybiidae. The record is from RefSeq and is a predicted model, not a curated record.